CCCUUAGAUGUUCUGGGCCGCACGCGUGCUACACUGAGUAAUUCAAUGGGUAAGGGAACGCUAGAGCAUUACCUAAUCUUGAAAUUUGCUCGUGAUGGGGAUCGACGGUUGCAAUUUUCCGUCAUGAACGAGGAAUACCUUGUAAGCGCGGGUCAUCAUCCCGCGCUGAAUACGUCCCUGCCCUUUGUACACACCGCCCGUCGCUCCUACCGAUUGAGUGGUCCGGUGAGGCUUUGGGAUCUGAGCGGAAAGAGCGUUUCGCUGUUUCUGCUCGGAAAACUCAGUCGAACCUUAUCAUUUAGAGGAAGGAGAAGUCGUAACA
RNAcentral lists this ribosomal RNA (322 nucleotides) under uncultured eukaryote. Its description in RNAcentral is "partial 18S ribosomal RNA". It matches the Rfam family "Eukaryotic small subunit ribosomal RNA", at positions 1470 to 1796 of the family's 1831-position model. The record is from RNAcentral.